RNAcentral lists this ribosomal RNA (842 nucleotides) under uncultured bacterium. RNAcentral describes it as "bacterial SSU rRNA". It matches the Rfam family "Bacterial small subunit ribosomal RNA", at positions 588 to 1430 of the family's 1533-position model. The record is from RNAcentral.
UNUGAUGUGAAAGCCCCCGGCUCAACCGGGGAGGGUCAUUGGAAACUGGGGAACUUGAGUGCAGAAGAGGAGAGUGGAAUUCCAUGUGUAGCGGUGAAAUGCGUAGAUAUAUGGAGGAACACCAGUGGCGAAGGCGACUCUCUGGUCUGUAACUGACGCUGAGGCUCGAAAGCGUGGGUAGCAAACAGGAUUAGAUACCCUGGUAGUNCACGCCGUAAACGAUGAGUGCUAAGUGUUGGAGGGUUUCCGCCCUUCAGUGCUGCAGUUAACGCAUUAAGCACUCCGCCUGGGGAGUACGACCGCAAGGUUGAAACUCAAAGGAAUUGACGGGGACCCGCACAAGCGGUGGAGCAUGUGGUUUAAUUNGAAGCAACGCGAAGAACCUUACCAAGUCUUGACAUCCUUUGACCGCUCUAGAGAUAGAGCUUUCCCUUCGGGGACAAAGUGACAGGUGGUGCAUGGUUGUCGUCAGCUCGUGUCGUGAGAUGUUGGGUUAAGUCCCGCAACGAGCGCAACCCUUAUUACUAGUUGCCAGCAUUUAGUUGGGCACUCUAGUGAGACUGCCGGUGACAAACCGGAGGAAGGUGGGGAUGACGUCAAAUCAUCAUGCCCCUUAUGACUUGGGCUACACACGUGCUACAAUGGAUGGUACAACGAGCAGCGAACUCGCGAGGGUAAGCGAAUCUCUUAAAGCCAUUCUCAGUUCGGAUUGUAGGCUGCAACUCGCCUACAUGAAGCCGGAAUCGCUAGUAAUCGCGGAUCAGCACGCCGCGGUGAAUACGUUCCCGGGUCUUGUACACACCGCCCGUCACACCACGAGAGUUUGUAACACCCAAAGUCGG